AUGUUAGGUCCUAUGCAACCUGAGCUACAGACCUAUAAACCUUCUGGUGAAAAAGGGCAUCAACGCCGCUUCCAGUACAAAUGGUUUGACAAUUUCAAGAAAUGGCUAGAGUAUUCGGAGGACAAACAUCGUGCUUAUUGUUUGUAUUGCUUUGUCUCUAGUAAAAAUGAGAAUAGACGAGGUGGUUCUCAUGUCUUCACAGUAGAUGGAUUUGACAGUUGGAAGAGAGUUAACUCUGGAAAACAUUGUGCAUUCUUAACCCACAUGGGCUCUGGACCAUGCUCACCACACAAUAAUGCAUUCACAGAUGGCCAAGCCUUGCUGAAUCAAUCAUGCCACAUAGAAACUAUUAUGGUAGUUAAGGACAAGGAGAAAGUAGAAAGAAACCGUCUCAGACUGAAAGUUUCAAUUGCAACGGUUAAGUGGCUCGCACUUCAAUCUUGUGCUUUUAGAGGACAUGACGAAAGACCCGAGUCAAAGAAUAAAGGCAACUUUCUUGAAAUGGUGGAGCUUCUUGCUGAAUUCAAUCCUGAUAUUGCCAAAUGUGUGUUGGCGAAUGCUCCAUAUGGUUCUAAAUACACAUCAUCAGAAAUUCAGAAGGAGAUCUUGAGUAUAAGCAUGUAA
Molecule: ribosomal RNA, 624 nt
Filed under: Triticum aestivum (bread wheat)
Lineage: Eukaryota; Viridiplantae; Streptophyta; Magnoliopsida; Poales; Poaceae
Description: partial small subunit ribosomal RNA
Source: RNAcentral